GUCAGAAUGGCCGAGCGGUCCAAGGCGCCAGACUCAAGGUUGUGCACCUUCUCCAAAACAGAGAGAUUUCUGGUCUCCGAAUGGAGGCGAGGGUUCAAAUCCCACUUCUGACA
This 113-nucleotide transfer RNA is filed under the name Astyanax mexicanus (Mexican tetra). It matches the Rfam family "tRNA". From Rfam's summary of the family: Transfer RNA (tRNA) molecules are approximately 80 nucleotides in length. Their secondary structure includes four short double-helical elements and three loops (D, anti-codon, and T loops). The record is from Rfam by way of RNAcentral. Lineage: Eukaryota; Metazoa; Chordata; Actinopteri; Characiformes; Acestrorhamphidae.